CGCGGGAGCUCAGCUCCUCCCUCCACGGCCCCCGGCGGAGCGAGAGGCGGGAAACGGCCGCCGCCGCCGCCGCCCUCCCGAGCCUUCUCCCGGUGCCGAGCCGGCCAGGCACCGCAUCCCCUUGCGUCCCGCUGACCUGUCAGUCCACCUCACGGUUGGAGCCUGCGGGAGCUGAGCGGGGACUCCUCGGCACCCCUUCCCCGCUCAGGCCCGGGAGCCCGCGUGUCGGGCCGUCAGUCGGUCCCUAUGCCGCGCCGAGGGACAUGGCCUUCAUUUGGUCUGAUUUUCUGAGUCUCUCAAACUGCUGCUGCAGGGUCCUUGGAGACAGCUCGUUUCUCCUGGAAGAAUCGCCAAAGUCAGCUUCAGCAGCUCACAAACGUCUUCAUUGCUCUGAGCACAGCGCUAGGCAUAGAAUUGGAUUCAGCUGAUACUUGCCACCUGGCUUAGAGAACAAGGACUCCAGCUCCAGCCCCAGCUGCGGCACCUGCUAGUUCUGUGACCUAGGUUUCUUUGCUGGGAAGGCAGAGGAAGCCAGGAGAGGCCCGUCACAAUGGACUUCACCACUUCAUCGGCCCAGGUCGCGAUGCGGAAGCACCGAGAAUCAUCGGAGCUGGAAAGUAUAGUCCCCUGGUGUGCUAGGAAAGAAGAGGAGAAGGCCUUUUGGCCUCUGCCACGUCUCUUGACUUGGACACCUUCCCACUGCUGCUGACAGCAAUCAGACACCUGCUCCCUGAGCCCAUGGCAGCCAGCAUGCCUCUUCUACAGCACUCGCCACCCUCUCUCAGGCGAAAUGUGUCAUUUCGUGGUCGUUUUGCUUGAGGGUUUGUUUCUUCCAUCAGAGAUUCAACAGGACGCAUUUCAUUGUGGGCACCUGCUUCACGCCUUGCCUGAGCGUCUGGGGGAAAGCGUUGGAAAGCCCCUAGGGCGCGUCCUCAAACUUCCAUCAGAGCCUGCGGCUCUUAGGACAACGUUGCCCUUUGGCUUUGCCCAGCCGUGCCUCAAGC
This 1004-nucleotide long non-coding RNA is filed under the name Equus asinus (donkey). Its description in RNAcentral is "lncRNA (ENSEASG00005033080.1)". The record is from RNAcentral. Lineage: Eukaryota; Metazoa; Chordata; Mammalia; Perissodactyla; Equidae.